CACGGACCGCACGAACGUUAUUCGGUAUCACUGGGCUUAAAGGGUGCGUAGGCGGCCUAGCAAGUUGGGUGUGAAAGCCCUCGGCUCAACCGAGGAAUUGCGCUCAAUACUGUUGGGCUCGAGAGAGACAGAGGUAAGCGGAACUAAUGGUGGAGCGGUGAAAUGCACAGAUAUAUAGAAGAACAUCAAUAAAGGCGAAGGCAGUUAACUAUUCUGUUACUGACGCUGAGGCACGAAAGCGUGGGGAGCAAAACGG
RNAcentral lists this ribosomal RNA (256 nucleotides) under uncultured bacterium. Its description in RNAcentral is "partial 16S ribosomal RNA". It matches the Rfam family "Bacterial small subunit ribosomal RNA", at positions 524 to 776 of the family's 1533-position model. The record is from RNAcentral.